Long non-coding RNA from Varroa destructor (honeybee mite), 545 nucleotides. The record is from RefSeq and is a predicted model, not a curated record. NCBI's taxonomy places the organism in Eukaryota, Metazoa, Arthropoda, Arachnida, Mesostigmata, Varroidae.
GCUGCUUCUCAUCCUCAAAUGGAUUACGUGUAGCCGGUUCGGGGAAUACGCUGUACAGGGACGAUAAUCUGAUAGGGCUCAAGUAAUGGGACAGAUUUCCCGCUUAUUCUUUGUCUUCGAACUCAUCAAGGGAGCUCCUUGUUCGUUGGCAUCGUUCGUCUCUUGUCUUCCUGUCUCCUUUGGAGCGACGUUUCGAAAAGAGAAGCUGCUGACGCAUACCACCAGCGACACUCGCACAAAUCGAUCAGCAACAAACAAAUCCGAUGGACAACCAUAUUUGGAAUAGCAAAAGGCAAGGACUCAUCAGUCUGUCUGUUAUCGUACAUGGCAAGUGUUGCCUGCCUACUUACCUGUUCGUCGCUCCACGAAGUGUCAAGCACCCCGCAAGACGCGCUACCAUCCAUAAACGGGCCUCGAAAGCGUCAUAAUCUGCCAUUACCAACGUGAGCAAAAUCUCGUCGGCAUCGCCUCUACCGUUUUCGAUCUUCCUUUUAAUAAACUGUCUGAUCGGACGCCACUGCAAAGCAGUAAUGAACCAACCACUA